Molecule: microRNA precursor, 233 nt
Filed under: Orobanche cernua var. cumana
Lineage: Eukaryota; Viridiplantae; Streptophyta; Magnoliopsida; Lamiales; Orobanchaceae
Description: miR172d
Source: RNAcentral
CAGUCAGUUUUUGCUGAUGGAGCAUCAUCAAGAUUCACAUAGCUUUGUCCCAAUUCAUUUUUCUAUUACUUUCUUUUUUUUUUUAAUUAUUUUAUUAUUUUCUUUUUCAUUUUCUUUUCUUCUAUAAUUUUUUUCCUGUUUCGAUUAAUUUUUAAUUAUUACUGAUCUUAUGAGUUUUGGAAAUAAAAAAUAUAUGGGAAUCUUGAUGAUGCUGCAGCGGCAAUGAAUGACUA